Molecule: ribosomal RNA, 446 nt
Filed under: uncultured bacterium
Lineage: Bacteria
Description: bacterial SSU rRNA
Rfam family: Bacterial small subunit ribosomal RNA
Source: RNAcentral
UCCAGACUCCUACGGGAGGCAGCAGUGGGGAAUAUUGCACAAUGGGGGGGAACCCUGAUGCAGCGACGCCGCGUGGGUGAAGGAGCACCUCGAUGCGUAAAGCCCUAUCGGCAGGGAAGAAACAGACGGUACCUGACUAAGAAGCCCCGGCUAACUACGUGCCAGCAGCCGCGGUAAUACGUAGGGGGCAAGCGUUAUCCGGAUUCACUGGGUGUAAAGGGAGCGUAGACGGCGACGCAAGUCUGGAGUGAAAGCCCGCGGCUCAACUGCGGGACUGCUUUGGAAACUGUUCAACUGGAGUGCUGGAGAGGUAAGCGGAAUUCCUAGUGUAGCGGUGAAAUGCGUAGAUAUUAGGAGGAACACCAGUGGCGAAGGCGGCUUACUGGACAGUAACUGACGUUGAGGCUCGAAAGCGUGGGGAGCAAACAGGAUUAGAUACCCUGGUA